Molecule: long non-coding RNA, 1142 nt
Organism: Dermacentor albipictus
Lineage: Eukaryota; Metazoa; Arthropoda; Arachnida; Ixodida; Ixodidae
Source: RefSeq, a predicted model, not a curated record
CAGGCUGCCCCGCUCCGAAAGGAAUAAAAGAUUGCUGCCGCCGAUCGCUCAGGCACUGGCUACUGGCACCUGCUUGAGAGCAUGGGUUUAUUUGCGUGUAAUACAAUCUUUUUGCGUGGCCAUGUAACGCUUUCGAGCACUUUCGACACGUUUACAAACUCGUUCUGCCAACUCUUUUUUUUUUUUUUGCUGAAGAUCCGUUUCGGCGUCAUUCUUAAGCUUCCGUUACAUGCCGCCGCGAUUGUCGACGAGCCACCGCAAGCUAAGUAAGGGAAAGCGGACCAAUCGCAGAUGCCAGCACCACCCUCUUCACCCGGUUAUCGAUUUUCACUGCAGUGGCUCGGCCCCAUGGAAUGCCUCUACACUUGAGCGUGCUCCUGUCCUCUUGUGAGCCAAUUAAGUGGCCCAUGAACGUAGAAAGCGUUUGAUUGGUCUGUUGAGACAACCCUGCGGGUGACCGCCCGAUGCUUGCUUCGGCAGUUACGAAAAUUUGACGUCAGGAGAUUGGUACAAAAAACAUAUUGUAAUAAUUUUGCGCCUCGAGAUCGAACAGAGUCGGCUCCUAGCGGCGAGGUGACGAAGCUCCGAAGUGUGGAUGCCGGUGGCCCGUCGCCGCUCCAGCCGCAGUGUGCAGCGAUCGUAGUUCGCGAAAUCACGAUGGAUGUUGACGAGGACGGUUUGUUCGAUGCACCCUUGCCUCUAAGCACAAUUCUCAACCAUGUUAGGGACGGUGUCAGGUGCCUCGUCGAAGGCGACCAAGUCGUUGCGGCGGGCCACAUCAUUGAGUGUAGUGCCGUCGCUUCCACCUGCUGCUCUGACGGUCCUGUGCACGUUAUCGCAUUCGUGCUGCAGUCGUCCGCGCUCAGUAAAGACCCACACCGAGUCGACCUGAAUUUGACCGACGAGACAAAAAUAGCAGAAUUGAACUGCACAUGCCCUGCAGGCUGUAUUACCAGCUCAUCGUCAGUCCAGCCGCAUUAACCACAGCAAAGCCGUGUAACCUCCACCGGCGCGGACUACCUCUCAUCUACGAUCAUUUUUUGUGAAAACCGCCAGGGACUGGAACGGUCUGACUGCCGACAUCACGCACCACUCCGACACUCAUCACUUCAAGGCUGCUCUCGAAUCACUGUUUUGUUAAA